RNAcentral lists this long non-coding RNA (522 nucleotides) under Pan troglodytes (chimpanzee). RNAcentral's name for it is "long non-coding RNA NONPTRT011138". The record is from RNAcentral. Lineage: Eukaryota; Metazoa; Chordata; Mammalia; Primates; Hominidae.
GCCAGGUGUUUGAGAUCAGCCUGAGCAACAUGGUGAAAUCCCGUCUCUACUAAAAAUACAAAAACUGCGGCGGCAGCGCCACUCAGGCGUUGGGUAACGCUAGACAGAUGGACUGUCACGUGACAUGAAGUGGCUCCGAACAGGAAGAGGAUGGAAAAGAUAACCGUCCCUGAUGCCGAGACGAACCGGACCUGCAGCCACCAUGAACAGCAAAGGGCUCCUCCAGCUAUAGCAGCCAAAGCAUAUUCAAUCCGGACAAGUUUAUCAGACGGGCUGAAUGUAGUCAGCGAAAAGCCGUACCGCGCUCCGCCAUCUUUACCCGAAGAGCCAAAGCACAAGUUCAGGGAGGUGUCCACUGUCUCUCAAAUCAACCACCAGACUUUAGAGGGGCACAAGAUUGUUAACGCGCAAAGGUGGUUGAGGAAUUGGAAAGGUUGACUGGGGCUGCACCUUGGAAUUUAUUUUGUCUUGGAUAAUAUGUAACAUUAACAGAGAGCAGAAGCUGAUUAAAGUAUCUUGGUG